AAUAUUCAAAUAUCCAUAACGCGUUUCGUCACAAAAGGACUUUUUCAAAUGGAAUGGUUAUUCCAUUUGAAAAAGUCCUUUUGUGACGAAACGCGUUAUGGAUAUUUGAAUAU
RNAcentral lists this microRNA precursor (113 nucleotides) under Pelobates cultripes (western spadefoot toad). Lineage: Eukaryota; Metazoa; Chordata; Amphibia; Anura; Pelobatidae. The record is from RNAcentral.